This 564-nucleotide ribosomal RNA is filed under the name uncultured Glomeromycotina. RNAcentral's name for it is "SSU rRNA". It matches the Rfam family "Eukaryotic small subunit ribosomal RNA", at positions 548 to 1114 of the family's 1831-position model. The record is from RNAcentral. Lineage: Eukaryota; Fungi; Glomeromycota.
UUGGAGGGCAAGUCUGGUGCCAGCAGCCGCGGUAAUUCCAGCUCCAAUAGCGUAUAUUAAAGUUGCUGCAGUUAAAAAGCUCCUAGUUGAAUUUCGGGACCAUCAUGUCGGUCGUGCCUCGGUACGUACUGGCAUUGUUGGUUUCUCCCUUCUGACGAACCAUGAUGUCAUUUAUUUGGUGUUGUGGGGAAUCAGGACUGUUACUUUGAAAAAAUUAGAGUGUUUAAAGCAGGCUCACGCUUGAAUACAUUAGCAUGGAAUAAUGAAAUAGGACGUUUGAUUCUAUUUUGUUGGUUUCUAGGAUCGACGUAAUGAUUAAUAGGGAUAGUUGGGGGCAUUAGUAUUCAAUUGUCAGAGGUGAAAUUCUUGGAUUUAUUGAAGACUAACUACUGCGAAAGCAUUUGCCAAGGAUGUUUUCAUUAAUCAAGAACGAAAGUUAGGGGAUCGAAGACGAUCAGAUACCGUCGUAGUCUUAACCAUAAACUAUGCCGACUAGGGAUCGGAUGAUGUUAAUUUUUUAAUGACUCAUUCGGCGCCUUACGGGAAACCAAAGUGUUUGGGUUC